AUUUCCCUCACGCCUUUUUAAAGCCAUCUAGAUUGAUGGCCAACACAACAUCUUGUAGCAGUGAAUUCCAUAAUUCAACUACGCACUAUGUUUUGACUGCUCCUAUCUUCUACCUUCAGGUAGGUAGCCAUGUUGGUCUGACGCAGUAGAUAUAUAUAUAUAUGUGUGUGUGUGUGUGUGUGUGUGUGUGUGUCCAGUAGCACCUUAGAGACCAACUAAGUUUGUUCUUGGUAUGAGCUUAUGAGCUUUCGUGUGCAUGCUACUAAGGUGCUACUGAACCAUUAUUUUCUACCAUUCAGCUUCAUUGUAUGAACCCAGGUCCUGGUGUUGUGAGGGAGGAAACAAAGGUUGUGUGAAUUGUUUCUUUCACAACAUAUCCUGUUGGAGCUCAAGAUUGGGCACCUUUUAAUGUUGGAUGUGUGCAGUUAAAGUAAUCCUGGGUGCAAGCUGGUAAUAGUUCUCACAGUUUUGCUAUCAUAUUUGGUGGACUGGCUGGGCUAAUUCAUAAUAAGUAUCAGGAAAGGCUAGGCAAUAUGUUUGUCAUUGCUCAAGUAUUAAUGGCUCAAAAUGGAAGGAAACAGGAAUUUCCACCAGUAGAGAACUGGAAAUAAAAUAUAUGGCAUAGACUAGAGUGAUGUUGUAUAAGAUAAUGUAUUAUAUUAAAAAAUGUGGGAAGCAUGUGUGACAAUAAAAGACUCUCUGGAUUGUUGGCAGAAAUGUAUUCAGUGCUGAAAUCAAACAACAAAUUACAACAAUGUUGGGAAAGAAGUCUUGGAAAUGAUUUAAGUUACUAUGACAAUAAGCCAAUCUAUUAGUAACAGCAGUAGUAUUGAAAUAGCCAACAGAUAAUGCAAUUUAAAUAAAAAUGUGUGUAUGUAUACAUCCAGCUGAUAUAUUCAAAAAGAUAAUACUCUCUUUUUAAAGAAAAAAUGAAAAUAAUUUCUAUCAACGCUGCAGUCCCACUGAAAACUGCACAAACGGCAUUCAUUGGGGAAGGUCUGUAGUUCAGUGGUGCAGCAUCUAUGCAUAGAGAAGGUCCUAUGUUCAAUCCCUGGUACCUCCAGGUAAGGCUGGGAAGAAAUUCUGGGGAGCCACUGCCAGGCCAUACUGAGCUAGAGGGACCAAUGGUCUGAUUCAGUAUACGGCAGCUUCUGAUCUCUUUUCCUGUGUUGUUCAUGGCGCAGGCUCUGCUUUUGGCUGUCACCAACUUGUCUUCUUUGAUAACAGAGAGACCAACACCUACGAAUGCAAGUCUCCCUGGAUGCCCCCU
This is a non-coding RNA of Podarcis lilfordi (Lilford's wall lizard), 1270 nucleotides long. NCBI's taxonomy places the organism in Eukaryota, Metazoa, Chordata, Lepidosauria, Squamata, Lacertidae. The record is from the annotation of a GenBank genome assembly.